UUCUUCUUGUUUCAGAAAAUUUGGCUGCAAACAAAUUUGAUCAUUCAGAUUCAGUGAAAGGAGAAAGAGAUAAUAUCAAUAUGGAUGAACUUGGGCAGCUGGAUGAACUUCUUCAAAGUAUCGAAGAUCUGGACAAUUAAAAGGUGCUUUAUGGGGGCCUUCCUAUCUGAAGAGUCUGCCUCGAGCAAUAGAAGAAAGAAAGCACAAUGUACUAUUGGCUGCUGCCAUAAAUAACUUAACAUUAAUAAACUAUGAAUAAAUUCUGCA
Molecule: long non-coding RNA, 267 nt
Organism: Erpetoichthys calabaricus (reedfish)
Lineage: Eukaryota; Metazoa; Chordata; Cladistia; Polypteriformes; Polypteridae
Exons: 5
Source: RefSeq, a predicted model, not a curated record